RNAcentral lists this transfer RNA (65 nucleotides) under Rhinebothrium scobinae. RNAcentral describes it as "tRNA-Glu". Lineage: Eukaryota; Metazoa; Platyhelminthes; Cestoda; Rhinebothriidea; Rhinebothriidae. The record is from RNAcentral.
ACUGUUUUAGUAUAUAUAUUACCUUAGCUUUUCGUGCUAAAGAAGGUGCUAUGCACCAAGCAGCG